GACGAACGCUGGCGGCGUGCCUAACACAUGCAAGUCAACUUGACUGAAGGAGCAAUCUGACAGUAGAGUGGCGCAAGGGUGCGUAAUAUAUCGGAACGUACCCGGAAAUGGGGGAUAACGUAGCGAAAGUUACGCUAAUACCGCAUAUGCCCUAAGGGGGAAAGCGGGGGACUCGCAAGAACCUCGCGUUUUCGGAGCGGCCGAUAUCGGAUUAGCUAGUAGGUGAGGUAAAGGCUCACCUAGGCGACGAUCCGUAGCUGGUCUGAGAGGACGACCAGCCACACUGGAACUGAGACACGGUCCAGACUCCUACGGGAGGCAGCAGUGGGGAAUUUUGGACAAUGGGCGCAAGCCUGAUCCAGCCAUGCCGCGUGAGUGAAGAAGGCCUUC
This 390-nucleotide ribosomal RNA is filed under the name uncultured bacterium. RNAcentral describes it as "bacterial SSU rRNA". It matches the Rfam family "Bacterial small subunit ribosomal RNA", at positions 28 to 419 of the family's 1533-position model. The record is from RNAcentral.